This is a non-coding RNA of Acanthosepion pharaonis, 113 nucleotides long. The record is from the annotation of a GenBank genome assembly. NCBI's taxonomy places the organism in Eukaryota, Metazoa, Mollusca, Cephalopoda, Sepiida, Sepiidae.
UACAGCCAUAUCAUGUUGAAACACUAGUUCCUGUACAAUCAUCAAAGUUAAACAAUGUCAAGCCUGGUAUGUACUUAGAUAGGCGACCCUUUGGGAAUACUAGGUGCUGUAAU